RNAcentral lists this long non-coding RNA (1811 nucleotides) under Olea europaea subsp. europaea. The record is from RNAcentral. Lineage: Eukaryota; Viridiplantae; Streptophyta; Magnoliopsida; Lamiales; Oleaceae.
UAUUUAUAUUCCCUAUCGAACUUUACAACAAUUGACAUAAUGUCUAACUUAGUUUCCAUCUCUCGAGGGUAAAACAUGUCACAAAACUCGUACAACUAUUGCGCAUAUAAUUGUAGAGAAAAUAAAAUCUAUGCCAACCAUUCAAUAAUUAAAAACAUGUUUUAACGUCAAAAUAAAUAAAAUUCAAAAUUAAAGGUUCAUAAUACAAGAUUCAUUGCAAAUCUUAGCACAAAAUAAUUUUGCUUAGCAUAACGGCGGAAUUAAAGAAAGAAAAGAUUGAAGAUAUCACCAGAAAUGGAGAGAAUGUGAUUAAUAUCCAAAUUCCUCCCGUCCGCUUUUGCUUCUGCGUGUAUUUAUAUGUAUUCCUUGGCUGCCUUUUGUCUUCAAUUUCUGGCCUUCAGUUGCGUGUAUAUAUGUGUCCAGCCACCUUUUGCAUGAAUAUAUGUCUCUCAAUUCCUAUUGCAACUCGUGUGUACAUGGAUAUACAUUUAAUAGCAGCUGUCUAUGUAUUUGUUCCAGCAACAACAGCCUUUUAUCCUCCAAAAUCUGUCCCCCAUUUCUGUCCGUGUAUGUUUGUAUAUAUAUCUAGUGGUGGGCGUGGGUUGAGUUGGGUCGGUUUUCGCCCCAACACAAACCCAACCCACCGUUGUCGGCUUGAUCUAAAAUCAAACCAACCCAACCCAACCCAUAUAAAUGUUUCAACCCAACCCAAUCAAGUUUCGAUCAGGUUGGGUUGGGUCGGUAGGUUUGGGAAAAACUUGAUUCACUUAAAUUAAAGAGCUACCAUCCAUUGUAAAUUAUGUAGGCAUUGCCAUCGAUUGAAUCAGAAGAGAUGCCAAAAGUGGAACAUAUGAAUGAAACACAUAUGAUCAAAUCCAAUUAUAAAGAAUACUUCAUCCUACAUAUUAAUGAAACACAUUUUGCUUCACAGCAAGUGAAACAUUUCAUCAGAUAUACAAUAAUCUAUAGCACAGGAAUGGGGAUUACUUACAUUUUUUGUCCUGCAAAAGAUCGAUUCUCUCUAGACAAUCAGAUUCAACACAGCAUCCAUGCAACCAAGUGAACCUUUAACCUAAACAAAAAAAUGAAUACUACAAUAAAUAAAUAAAAUAAAUAGAAAACAUAGAAUUGAAACAGCAUUCAAAUUGCUUGAAUUAUAAGAUUUUCACCCCUUCUACAUUUCCUUAAUUUUCAAACAAACUGAACUCUGUUUUAGUAUAGCAAGACACCAUUACACAAUUGUAAUUUCCUGCCACUUCAAAGGAGAAAACUCUUGAAGUAACAACACAGCAGAAAAUUCAAUUGAACCUUGAAGAAACUCUUGAAGUCUAGAGUCAAUUUCAGAUCCAAAAAAAAUGCAUAAACGAGGCUGAAAGACGAGGAUGGCCUUACAGUAAGCAACGCAAGAUAGAGUCUCAAAUGGGGUGUACCAUGUAGGAGAAAAGAAAGCCGAAACAUCUUUGCGAGCAAGACACCUUCGUUUUUCCACAGUCUUCGAAGUGUUGCUUGAUUUUCAUGAGUUGUUUAAUUUUUGCAUCAUUUUGUAGCAUAUGAAUCUAGCAUUUGAGAGGAGAUUAAGAGAAAAUUGGGAGACAGAGAGAUUAGGGCUUCAUAUCGUGGCUGGGAGUGAAGAAGCAUCAUUUCGUAGCAUAUGAAUCUAGCAUUUGAGAGGAGAUUGAGAGAAAAUUGGAGGACAGAGAGAUUAGGGCUUCAUAUCGUGGCUGGGAGUGAAGAAGCAUCAUUUCGUAGCAUAUGAAUCUAGCAUUUGAGAGGAGAUUGAGAGAAAAUUGGAGGACAGAGAGAUUAGGGCN